GGGGAUAUAGCUCAGUUGGUAGAGUGCCUGUGUCCCAUACACAAGGUCUUGGGUUCAAUCCCCAGUACCA
RNAcentral lists this transfer RNA (70 nucleotides) under Ictidomys tridecemlineatus (thirteen-lined ground squirrel). RNAcentral describes it as "Spermophilus tridecemlineatus (thirteen-lined ground squirrel) tRNA". It matches the Rfam family "tRNA". From Rfam's summary of the family: Transfer RNA (tRNA) molecules are approximately 80 nucleotides in length. Their secondary structure includes four short double-helical elements and three loops (D, anti-codon, and T loops). The record is from Rfam by way of RNAcentral. Lineage: Eukaryota; Metazoa; Chordata; Mammalia; Rodentia; Sciuridae.